Molecule: ribosomal RNA, 791 nt
Filed under: uncultured bacterium
Lineage: Bacteria
Description: bacterial SSU rRNA
Rfam family: Bacterial small subunit ribosomal RNA
Source: RNAcentral
AGAGUUUGAUCCUGGCUCAGGAUGAACGCUAGCGGCAGGCUUAACACAUGCAAGUCGAGGGGCAGCGGGAGUAGCAAUACUUGCCGGCGACCGGCGCAAGGGUGCGUAACGCGUGAGCAACAUGCCCGUAUCAGGGGGAUAAUCCAGGGAAACUUGGUCUAAUACCGCAUAAUAAUCAUUUGGGGCAUCUUGGAUGAUUUAAAAUUUCGAUGAAUACGGAUUGGCUCGCGUGACAUUAGCUGGAUGGAGAGGUAACGGCUCACCAUGGCUACGAUGUCUAGGGGUUCUGAGAGGAAGGUCCCCCACACUGGAACUGAGACACGGUCCAGACUCCUACGGGAGGCAGCAGUGAGGAAUAUUGGACAAUGGAUGGAAAUCUGAUCCAGCCAUGCCGCGUGCAGGAAGACGGCCCUAUGGGUUGUAAACUGCUUUUGUAUGGGAGCAAUAAGGGCUACGUGUAGUCCGAUGAGAGUACCAUACGAAUAAGGACCGGCUAACUCCGUGCCAGCAGCCGCGGUAAUACGGAGGGUCCGAGCGUUAUCCGGAUUUAUUGGGUUUAAAGGGUGCGUAGGCGGUUUUAUAAGUCAGCGGUGAAAUUUUCCGGCUCAACCGGGAUACUGCCGUUGAUACUGUAAGGCUAGGAUAUGGUUGCUGUGGGUGGAAUGUGUGGUGUAGCGGUGAAAUGCUUAGAGAUCACACAGAAUAUCGAUUGCGAAGGCAGCUCACAAAGCCAUUAUUGACGCUGAGGCACGAAAGUGUGGGGAUCAAACAGGAUUAGAUACCCUGGUAGU